This 491-nucleotide ribosomal RNA is filed under the name uncultured bacterium. RNAcentral describes it as "partial 16S ribosomal RNA". It matches the Rfam family "Bacterial small subunit ribosomal RNA", at positions 29 to 506 of the family's 1533-position model. The record is from RNAcentral.
AGUGAACGCUGGCGGUAGGCCUAACACAUGCAAGUCGAACGGCAGCACAGUAAGAGCUUGCUCUUACGGGUGGCGAGUGGCGGACGGGUGAGGAAUACAUCGGAAUCUACUUUUUCGUGGGGGAUAAUGUAGGGAAACUUACGCUAAUACCGCAUACGACCUACGGGUGGAAGCAGGGGAUCUUCGGACCUUGCGCGAUUGAAUGAGCCGAUGUCGGAUUAGCUAGUUGGCGGGGUAAAGGCCCACCAAGGCGACGAUCCGUAGCUGGUCUGAGAGGAUGAUCAGCCACACUGGAACUGAGACACGGUCCAGACUCCUACGGGAGGCGGCAGUGGGGAAUAUUGGACAAUGGGCGCAAGCCUGAUCCAGCCAUACCGCGUGGGUGAAGAAGGCCUUCGGGUUGUAAAGCCCUUUUGUUGGGAAAGAAAAGCAGCAGGUUAAUACCCCGCUGUUCUGACGGUACCCAAAGAAUAAGCACCGGCUAACUUCGU